This 501-nucleotide ribosomal RNA is filed under the name uncultured bacterium. Its description in RNAcentral is "partial 16S ribosomal RNA". It matches the Rfam family "Bacterial small subunit ribosomal RNA", at positions 28 to 507 of the family's 1533-position model. The record is from RNAcentral.
GACGAACGCUGGCGGCGUGCUUAACACAUGCAAGUCGAACGGUGAAGCACCUUCCUUUUGGUGGGUGUGGAUGAGUGGCGAACGGGUGAGUAACACGUGAGUAACCUGCCCCCUUCUUCUGGAUAACCGCAUGAAAGUGUGGCUAAUACGGGAUAUUUUGUGCCUGCUGCAUGGUGGGUGUGGGAAAGAUGCGCUUUUGGGUGUUUUUGGUGGGGGAUGGGCUCGCGGCCUAUCAGCUUGUUGGUGGGGUGAUGGCCUACCAAGGCGGUGACGGGUAGCCGGCCUGAGAGGGUGGACGGUCACACUGGGACUGAGACACGGCCCAGACUCCUACGGGAGGCAGCAGUGGGGAAUAUUGCACAAUGGGCGCAAGCCUGAUGCAGCGACGCCGCGUGAGGGAUGGAGGCCUUCGGGUUGUAAACCUCUUUCGCCAGUGAAGCAGGCCUGUCCCUUGUGGGUGGGUUGACGGUAGCUGGAUAAGAAGCGCCGGCUAACUACGUG